UAAAGGUGCAUGAGUGGUAUUUGGUUUGAUACGGGUGGUCGGCUCCCUGCUUGAGCAGGCACGGCCACGCGUGCAUUCCUUUUCAGUUGUCCGGCAAGGCUUGUAUCGUCUUGAUCGUAUAAGUGGGUUUCUUGUGUUGCAUACCUGAUUAAUGGCAUCGUUUUGAUCAAAAGUGUAUCUUUUUCGUCUGGCAAUGCACCCGCAUUGUCGGAUGAACUGAGCAGCAUCCUCUUUGAUCCAUAAAGUUGACGUGCAUUCGUUGAUUGUUUGGCCCGUUGAGGAUGGCUUGGUCUCUUGGAUAUGGAAGCCAAAGUGGGCAUGGGUUCGAAAGAUCCCUUUACUGCCCUCAUUGAGCGUUCUCGCUUCUCUUACACGACUGCCUUUCACGUAUGGCACGUCCCAGCGUGUUUGGCUACGUCGAAGAGGAAUGCUACCUGGUUGAUCCUGCC
Molecule: unclassified non-coding RNA, 449 nt
Filed under: Ericameria resinosa
Lineage: Eukaryota; Viridiplantae; Streptophyta; Magnoliopsida; Asterales; Asteraceae
Description: partial external transcribed spacer
Source: RNAcentral